Molecule: long non-coding RNA, 560 nt
Organism: Calidris pugnax (ruff)
Lineage: Eukaryota; Metazoa; Chordata; Aves; Charadriiformes; Scolopacidae
Exons: 2
Source: RefSeq, a predicted model, not a curated record
CCUCAGCGGCGCGGGCAGGCGAGAGGUGCGGGGCGCUCGCUGAGGAGCCGGCGGCGCGGUCCUCGGGGCGGCGACCACUACCACCGUGAGGGGGGGGCAGGCGGCGAGGCGACGGGCGAGCAGAGCCGCCGCAGGGAUGAGGGAAGACUCCUACUUCUUUGGAAUGCGAGGCCUCGGGCGCUACGGCUGCAUCCCGCAGGAUGGGGGACAGUUCUUGCUCUACUCUAUAAAUGGAGACAACGAUUUAAAGAGGUGUUUUGCAGAGGAAGAUUUUCAUGAAAUCAUUGACUUCAACGAUCUCCCCAAUUCUCUCUUUGCUUGUAAUGUUCACCAGUCUGUGUUUGAAGAUGAGGACAGUAAGGUACGGUGUCAGUUUCCGUAUUUUCAAUGUAAAAGAGACACAUGCCUUGUGUUGGUGUUUAUUGCAGUUCCAAUGAAGCAGAUUUAUCUGUCUUGUACAAAGAAACUGGAUCACAAACAUGACUAAGACAUGAUGCUUAUUUCAAGAGCUUAACAGUCUUUUUGUCAACUUCAAUAAACAAAAAUGUUUUUCUUUUGUU